RNAcentral lists this ribosomal RNA (464 nucleotides) under Vreelandella stevensii. Its description in RNAcentral is "partial 16S ribosomal RNA". It matches the Rfam family "Bacterial small subunit ribosomal RNA", at positions 338 to 795 of the family's 1533-position model. Lineage: Bacteria; Pseudomonadati; Pseudomonadota; Gammaproteobacteria; Oceanospirillales; Halomonadaceae. The record is from RNAcentral.
CCUACGGGAGCUGCAGUGGGGAAUAUUGGACAAUGGGCGAAAGCCUGAUCCAGCCAUGCCGCGUGUGUGAAGAAGGCCUUCGGGUUGUAAAGCACUUUCAGUGGGGAAGAAAGCCUUGGGGCUAAUACCCUCGAGGAAGGACAUCACCCACAGAAGAAGCACCGGCUAACUCCGUGCCAGCAGCCGCGGUAAUACGGAGGGUGCGAGCGUUAAUCGGAAUUACUGGGCGUAAAGCGCGCGUAGGCGGUCUGAUAAGCCGGUUGUGAAAGCCCCGGGCUCAACCUGGGAACGGCAUCCGGAACUGUCAGGCUAGAGUGCAGGAGAGGAAGGUAGAAUUCCCGGUGUAGCGGUGAAAUGCGUAGAGAUCGGGAGGAAUACCAGUGGCGAAGGCGGCCUUCUGGACUGACACUGACGCUGAGGUGCGAAAGCGUGGGUAGCAAACAGGAUUAGAUACCCCAUUAGUC